UAGGGUUUUUUCAUUAAAAUUCUUUAAUGGGCCUUUGGGCUUCCCAGCGGCCCAUAUCCACAACGAUUUCUACAAAAACGACGGGUCCAUAUUCGACCUCCGGAAUCGAUUCGCCGGUAAACACAAAACCUCCGUAGAAAGGUCCAACGGCACCAAUACGGCAAUGUCAGACCCAUUUAAGAGAAGUUCUCUCUAUCUCUCUUAUCUUUUUUUUCCAGAGAUCCUUCACUUUUUUUCUUCUCCUUGAGGUCAAAAACUCUAUUUCACUUACCGGCAAUCCAAUCUUCUCUUUGGAGAGUGUAUUCAAAUUAGAAUUUAAAAUGAUUUGAGCUUUCUUGAGUUAUCUAUCGAUUUUAAAAUUUCAUUCUCGACAAUUCACUGAUGCUUGUAGAUCAUGUUUGUUUUGAUGGUCUAAUCUAAAUUUGUAGGGAUUUGGAUCAUUGUUCAAUACUCAAGUCUUGUUUAAGUUUAUGAACUAUAUCAAUGGAUAAAGCAGAACUAACUUUGGAACAAGUUUGUGAUUUGAUUUUGCAAUAUAGUUAA
This 543-nucleotide small RNA is filed under the name Arabidopsis thaliana (thale cress). RNAcentral's name for it is "ATSL172270". The record is from RNAcentral. Lineage: Eukaryota; Viridiplantae; Streptophyta; Magnoliopsida; Brassicales; Brassicaceae.